AUGCUCACUUUGUCAACACACAUACUAAAAUUGGAAUAAUACAGAGAUGAUUAGCAUGGCCCUCUUCAAGAAUUACAAGCAAAUUCAUGAGACAUUUCAUGUUUUU
This is a small nuclear RNA of Cercocebus atys (sooty mangabey), 106 nucleotides long. Lineage: Eukaryota; Metazoa; Chordata; Mammalia; Primates; Cercopithecidae. The record is from Ensembl.